AACGAACGCUGGCGGCAGGCCUAACACAUGCAAGUCGAGCGCCCCGCAAGGGGAGCGGCGGACGGGUGAGUAACGCGUGGGAACGUACCCUUUGCUACGGAAUAGCCUCGGGAAACUGGGAGUAAUACCGUAUGUGCCCUUCGGGGGAAAGAUUUAUCGGCAAAGGAUCGGCCCGCGUUGGAUUAGGUAGUUGGUGGGGUAAUGGCCUACCAAGCCGACGAUCCAUAGCUGGUUUGAGAGGAUGAUCAGCCACACUGGGACUGAGACACGGCCCAGACUCCUACGGGAGGCAGCAGUGGGGAAUCUUAGACAAUGGGCGCAAGCCUGAUCUAGCCAUGCCGCGUGAGCGAUGAAGGCCUUAGGGUUGUAAAGCUCUUUCAGUGGGGAAGAUAAUGACUGUACCCACAGAAGAAGCCCCGGCUAACUCCGUGCCAGCAGCCGCGGUAAAGUAGUCGUG
RNAcentral lists this ribosomal RNA (457 nucleotides) under uncultured bacterium. RNAcentral's name for it is "bacterial SSU rRNA". It matches the Rfam family "Bacterial small subunit ribosomal RNA", at positions 29 to 533 of the family's 1533-position model. The record is from RNAcentral.